UACGUAGGUGGCGAGCGUUGUCCGGAAUUAUUGGGCGUAAAGAGCAUGUAGGCGGUUUUUUUAGUCUGGAGUGAAAAUGCGGGGCUCAACCCCGUAUGGCUCUGGAUACUGGAAGACUUGAGUGCAGGAGAGGAAAGGGGAAUUCCCAGUGUAGCGGUGAAAUGCGUAGAUAUUGGGAGGAACACCAGUGGCGAAGGCGCCUUUCUGGACUGUGUCUGACGCUGAGAUGCGAAAGCCAGGGUAGCGAACGGG
This 252-nucleotide ribosomal RNA is filed under the name Phascolarctobacterium succinatutens YIT 12067. RNAcentral's name for it is "partial 16S ribosomal RNA". It matches the Rfam family "Bacterial small subunit ribosomal RNA", at positions 524 to 776 of the family's 1533-position model. The record is from RNAcentral. Lineage: Bacteria; Bacillati; Bacillota; Negativicutes; Acidaminococcales; Acidaminococcaceae.